This is a long non-coding RNA of Mandrillus leucophaeus (drill), 530 nucleotides long. RefSeq lists it as uncharacterized. The transcript is spliced from 2 exons. The record is from RefSeq and is a predicted model, not a curated record. Lineage: Eukaryota; Metazoa; Chordata; Mammalia; Primates; Cercopithecidae.
GGGAAAAGGGAUAAGUUUCCCCACCUUUUAAUCUAUCUGCCUGUCUAUCUAUCUAUUAUCUAUCUGUCAUUUUGCCUCCUGGACAGUUGGCUGACGAAGUGUCUGAUAAACCAGCUUCAGAUACAUGCUACAAAAGGCUACUGAGCUGGCCUGAUGAUGAUCCUGCUGAGAUAUAUUUAUAGCAGAUGAUUUGUGGAUGAUAACUACGCCAAGCAAGACACGGUCUCCAGUAACCCCAGGCUCGUCUGACUUCCUCAGGGGAUUAUAAUCAAGAAUCAGGAAAAGAACCCUAUAUGAACAGUCUGGUCUCUGGACACUAACAACAGCACAAUCCAAAGGCAAAGCAAGGAAGGAACCACUUUGUUUCAUGUCUGCAAGAUGCUCCAUAUAGAAAGCAUUGCUGACAUGUUGACCCAACAGCAAAAAGAGAGCAGCAGUUCACACACCCUCAGCUCUCUGUCCUUUCGUUUCUAUUGAUGUUGGUCCACUUUUAUGAUUUAAUACAUGUUAAAUUCACCAUUUCAAAUUAU